Canis lupus familiaris (dog) is the source of this 529-nucleotide long non-coding RNA. RefSeq lists it as uncharacterized. The transcript is spliced from 3 exons. The record is from RefSeq and is a predicted model, not a curated record. NCBI's taxonomy places the organism in Eukaryota, Metazoa, Chordata, Mammalia, Carnivora, Canidae.
UGGACAUGGAGGCUGCCUUGGCUUAGCUUGGAUGAACCAGAGGGACCUGCAUAUGAGCCAUGUCCACCUCUGAUGGGAGACAAGGAUAAGCAAUGCUUGCAGAUAACAGAAACAUCCUGGGAUAAGAUGAGAAAACUGAGGCUCGUGGCGAGGGGGCGAGGGAGCAAAGCAGCAGGCCCAAGAUUUGCAGACUUUGAAGAUGGUUCAACAAUGCAGUAAAAGGCAGGUCUUUGCCACAACAAAAGGCAGAAAUAUCACCAAGGAGUAAACAGAAUUCCUUGGCCUCCUCGGAGCAUGUGUCAACAUCUUUUUCUUCCCCUUCCCCCCCCCUUCUUUUUUUUUUUUCUGUAGAUUCAGGGCUUGUCGGGGAGGGCGCCUCCCAGGCACUGGUGGGGUGGGCCGUGGGCCGCCCCGAACCCGGCAGCUCCGCCUCAGAACAGAUGCUGGGGCUUUGGUAAACCGAGAAAGCGUAACUGCCGCGAGCCACUCUCCUGACGGCCACAAUUACCCACAUGGAAAAGCCAUUCCA